Molecule: transfer RNA, 72 nt
Filed under: Camelus bactrianus (Bactrian camel)
Lineage: Eukaryota; Metazoa; Chordata; Mammalia; Artiodactyla; Camelidae
Also listed under: 2 other names
Rfam family: tRNA
About the family: Transfer RNA (tRNA) molecules are approximately 80 nucleotides in length. Their secondary structure includes four short double-helical elements and three loops (D, anti-codon, and T loops).
Source: Rfam by way of RNAcentral
GAGGGUAUAGCUCAGUAGUAGAGCACGCGUUUAGCACAUACAAGGUCCUGGAUUCAAUCCCCAGUACCUCCA